GGCGGCUAUAGCGAUGGGGGUGGAUAUGGCGGUGGUGGUGGUUAUCACUAAAUCCGAGUCAUAAAGAAGAUGCCUUGUUAUUUCUUGUUAUUUUUGGAUGUAAUAAAAUGUUGACUUUA
Homarus americanus (American lobster) is the source of this 119-nucleotide long non-coding RNA. RefSeq lists it as uncharacterized. The record is from RefSeq and is a predicted model, not a curated record. The transcript has 2 exons. NCBI's taxonomy places the organism in Eukaryota, Metazoa, Arthropoda, Malacostraca, Decapoda, Nephropidae.